Molecule: ribosomal RNA, 2905 nt
Filed under: Klebsiella oxytoca
Lineage: Bacteria; Pseudomonadati; Pseudomonadota; Gammaproteobacteria; Enterobacterales; Enterobacteriaceae
Description: bacterial LSU rRNA
Rfam family: Bacterial large subunit ribosomal RNA
Source: RNAcentral
UUAAGCGACUAAGCGUACACGGUGGAUGCCCUGGCAGUCAGAGGCGAUGAAGGACGUGCUAAUCUGCGAAAAGCGUCGGUAAGGUGAUAUGAACCGUUAUAGCCGGCGAUGUCCGAAUGGGGAAACCCAGUGCAAUUCGUUGCACUAUCGUUAACUGAAUACAUAGGUUAACGAGGCGAACCGGGGGAACUGAAACAUCUAAGUACCCCGAGGAAAAGAAAUCAACCGAGAUUCCCCCAGUAGCGGCGAGCGAACGGGGAGCAGCCCGGAGUCUGAAUCAGCUUGUGUGUUAGUGGAAGCGUCUGGAAAGUCGCAGGGUACAGGGUGAUACUCCCGUACACUAAAACGCACAGGCUGUGAACUCGAAGAGUAGGGCGGGACACGUGGUAUCCUGUCUGAAUAUGGGGGGACCAUCCUCCAAGGCUAAAUACUCCUGACUGACCGAUAGUGAACCAGUACCGUGAGGGAAAGGCGAAAAGAACCCCGGCGAGGGGAGUGAAAAAGAACCUGAAACCGUGUACGUACAAGCAGUAGGAGCCUCUUUAUGGGGUGACUGCGUACCUUUUGUAUAAUGGGUCAGCGACUUAUAUUCUGUAGCAAGGUUAACCGUAUAGGGGAGCCGCAGGGAAACCGAGUCUUAACUGGGCGUUAAGUUGCAGGGUAUAGACCCGAAACCCGGUGAUCUAGCCAUGGGCAGGUUGAAGGUUGGGUAACACUAACUGGAGGACCGAACCGACUAAUGUUGAAAAAUUAGCGGAUGACUUGUGGCUGGGGGUGAAAGGCCAAUCAAACCGGGAGAUAGCUGGUUCUCCCCGAAAGCUAUUUAGGUAGCGCCUCGUGAAUUCAUCUUCGGGGGUAGAGCACUGUUUCGGCUAGGGGGUCAUCCCGACUUACCAACCCGAUGCAAACUACGAAUACCGAAGAAUGUUAUCACGGGAGACACACGGCGGGUGCUAACGUCCGUCGUGAAGAGGGAAACAACCCAGACCGCCAGCUAAGGUCCCAAAGUCAUGGUUAAGUGGGAAACGAUGUGGGAAGGCCCAGACAGCCAGGAUGUUGGCUUAGAAGCAGCCAUCAUUUAAAGAAAGCGUAAUAGCUCACUGGUCGAGUCGGCCUGCGCGGAAGAUGUAACGGGGCUAAACCAUGCACCGAAGCUGCGGCAGCGACACUAUGUGUUGUUGGGUAGGGGAGCGUUCUGUAAGCCGUUGAAGGUGGCCUGUGAGGGUUGCUGGAGGUAUCAGAAGUGCGAAUGCUGACAUAAGUAACGAUAAUGCGGGUGAAAAACCCGCACGCCGGAAGACCAAGGGUUCCUGUCCAACGUUAAUCGGGGCAGGGUGAGUCGACCCCUAAGGCGAGGCCGAAAGGCGUAGUCGAUGGGAAACAGGUUAAUAUUCCUGUACUCGGUGUUACUGCGAAGGGGGGACGGAGAAGGCUAUGUUGGCCGGGCGACGGUUGUCCCGGUUUAAGCAUGUAGGCGGAUGUUCCAGGUAAAUCCGGAACGUUACUAACGCUGAGGUGUGAUGACGAGGCACUACGGUGCUGAAGUGACAAAUGCCCUGCUUCCAGGAAAAGCCUCUAAGCAUCAGGUAACAUCAAAUCGUACCCCAAACCGACACAGGUGGUCAGGUAGAGAAUACCAAGGCGCUUGAGAGAACUCGGGUGAAGGAACUAGGCAAAAUGGUGCCGUAACUUCGGGAGAAGGCACGCUGAUAUGUAGGUGAAGUGGUUUACCCAUGGAGCUGAAAUCAGUCGAAGAUACCAGCUGGCUGCAACUGUUUAUUAAAAACACAGCACUGUGCAAACACGAAAGUGGACGUAUACGGUGUGACGCCUGCCCGGUGCCGGAAGGUUAAUUGAUGGGGUUAUCCGUAAGGAGAAGCUCUUGAUCGAAGCCCCGGUAAACGGCGGCCGUAACUAUAACGGUCCUAAGGUAGCGAAAUUCCUUGUCGGGUAAGUUCCGACCUGCACGAAUGGCGUAAUGAUGGCCAGGCUGUCUCCACCCGAGACUCAGUGAAAUUGAACUCGCUGUGAAGAUGCAGUGUACCCGCGGCAAGACGGAAAGACCCCGUGAACCUUUACUAUAGCUUGACACUGAACACUGGUCCUUGAUGUGUAGGAUAGGUGGGAGGCUUUGAAGCGUGGACGCCAGUCUGCGUGGAGCCAUCCUUGAAAUACCACCCUUUAAUGGCUGGUGUUCUAACGUGGGCCCGUUAUCCGGGUUGCGGACAGUGUCUGGUGGGUAGUUUGACUGGGGCGGUCUCCUCCUAAAGAGUAACGGAGGAGCACGAAGGUCAGCUAAUCCUGGUCGGACAUCAGGAGGUUAGUGCAAUGGCAUAAGCUGGCUUGACUGCGAGCGUGACGGCGCGAGCAGGUGCGAAAGCAGGUCAUAGUGAUCCGGUGGUUCUGAAUGGAAGGGCCAUCGCUCAACGGAUAAAAGGUACUCCGGGGAUAACAGGCUGAUACCGCCCAAGAGUUCAUAUCGACGGCGGUGUUUGGCACCUCGAUGUCGGCUCAUCACAUCCUGGGGCUGAAGUAGGUCCCAAGGGUAUGGCUGUUCGCCAUUUAAAGUGGUACGCGAGCUGGGUUUAGAACGUCGUGAGACAGUUCGGUCCCUAUCUGCCGUGGGCGCUGGAGAAUUGAGGGGGGCUGCUCCUAGUACGAGAGGACCGGAGUGGACGCAUCACUGGUGUUCGGGUUGUCAUGCCAAUGGCAUUGCCCGGUAGCUAAAUGCGGAAGAGAUAAGUGCUGAAAGCAUCUAAGCACGAAACUUGCCCCGAGAUGAGUUCUCCCUGACUCCUUGAGAGUCCUGAAGGAACGUUGAAGACGACGACGUUGAUAGGCCGGGUGUGUAAGCGCAGCGAUGCGUUGAGCUAACCGGUACUAAUGAACCGUGAGGCUUAACCUU